GGCGGGUCUCUGCGCAUGGUGGAACGGUGAAUCUGGUCAGGUCGGGAACGAAGCAGCCACAGCCAAUAUCUGCGAGUGCCGCAGGUCAGGCUCGCCACU
Molecule: signal recognition particle RNA, 99 nt
Filed under: Burkholderiaceae bacterium
Lineage: Bacteria; Pseudomonadati; Pseudomonadota; Betaproteobacteria; Burkholderiales; Burkholderiaceae
Description: signal recognition particle sRNA small type
Rfam family: Bacterial small signal recognition particle RNA
About the family: The signal recognition particle (SRP) is a universally conserved ribonucleoprotein involved in the co-translational targeting of proteins to membranes.
Source: RNAcentral